Molecule: RNA transcript, 6862 nt
Organism: Amyelois transitella
Lineage: Eukaryota; Metazoa; Arthropoda; Insecta; Lepidoptera; Pyralidae
Exons: 15
Source: RefSeq, a predicted model, not a curated record
UAGUCUAAAGCAGCAGUGUUGCGAAUUUAGAUCUUUUAGUUAAAGCUUGAACUCGCGAUUUAUUUUAAGAAUAUCGAGAUUUCAAGAAUCCAAGAUUUUUUUAAAGUAAAAACAAAAAAAUGAUCUUUACAAAUUCAAUCGAUCUGAGUAAAAUGACCCUUGGAUUGUAAAUGUCCUAUAAUCAUUAGGGUCAAGUUAGCGCUUUUUUUUUUGUCAGAGAAAACAACACUGGACAAAAGAAAGAAUAGCAAAUGUCGGGGUGAAGACAAGACAUCAUUGCUUGAUUUUCUUGUUUCGUUUUCUCGUUUAUAGACAUUUUUAUGGCAAAUAUUUACAUGUGGUGUUAUGAGCGUAUAAACCCUUUUCAAUAUGAUGUUAACAAUACACGGGCUGCCAUCGGUGGCCACCUACCACGAUGUAAGGACGCUACUACAAAUGGAAUGCAAGAUAAACGAUUUCAUUUUGGACAGUAUGGUAAAUGAUAAGGGAGGCACAAAGAAGGUCAGGAUUGGACUGGCAGAUGAAGUGGAAGGAGCACACGUGAUUAAAUGUCUGGACGGCUUCCGGUGUGGUGGGAAUGCACUUUAUGUAGUGCCCGUUGGGAAAAAUCAACAACCACCAAACGUACAACCAGCUUUCAAUCCCCAUGGGGCCUACCAGGGUCCGGGCCCUAGCUAUGCAGUGCAAGACCAGUUUGCCCCCCCUCAACAAGUGGGCCCGGGGCCAUGGAAUGCAGGAAACCAGUGGGCCCCAAACCAGCCCCAGAUGGGGUAUAACUAUCCACAACAGAAUGUGCCGUUUCAACAGGGCCAGUCCCAGCAGCAAAGACCAUUGAACCAACGGGAGCUGAUGCUCCAGGCAUCGAGGGCUCCAGUACAGGAUUCAUUCCUUGGAGGCUCUGUUCCUCCGGCAUCACGACCAGCGCUUCGUAACAUAGAAACAGUGGACAUACCCAAAGGUGACCAAGGCCGCUAUCAGAACUAUGAACAGCCAAAACCGAUAACAAUUAAGAAGGACAAUUUCAUGGGUCCCGAUGUGGGUACCGGAUCUUAUCCCCAGGGACAUGGUCAACCAUCGCCGUGGCAAGAUCAGGGCCCGCAACGCAAACCGGGUGAUUUCCGCAAGUCUAACCAACCUUACGAAGAUGACAAGAAGUACCAACCAAAACAUGGCAUCUUGAAAAAUCCAAUAAUCGACCGUGAUCGGCAAAACACCCAUUUUUCACUUCAAAGACGGGAUUCCCCUGGCAGGAGACCAUCCCCUGGCAGAAAUAUUUCCCCUGGUCGCAGGAUGCCUGAUCAUAAAAUUCCACCUAACGAUCAUAGGGGUAAGAUGCCUGAUCAUAGAAUGCCUGAUCACGGGCCUAAUGAUCGGAGAAUGCCAAUGAACGACAGAAUGGGCCCAAAUGAUCGUAGAAUGCCGUCAAAGGAUGAUAGAACGGGCCCGAAUGAUCGGAGAAUGCCAAUUAACGACAGAAUAGGGCCAAACGACCGUCGUAUUCCUAUGAAUGACGACAGGAUGGCCUCAAAUGACCGAAGAAUGGCUUCAGGUGAUCGCAGAAUGCCUAUAAAUGAUGAUAGAUUGGGUCCAAAUGAUCGUAGGAUGCCAUUAGACGACAGGAUGGGGCCAAAUGAUCGCAGAAUGCCGGGAAAUGAUGAGAGAAUGGGGCCUAAGGAUUGGAAAAUGUCGUCGAAUGAUAGAUUGGGUCCAAAUAGGACGAUGAAAGAUGAUAGAAUUGGUCCCAUGGAUGUACCGCAUCACGGCAAAGUUUCCCCUGGAAGACGCGUUUCUCCCGUAAGGCGACAUUCCCCUGGGCAUCCCGGAAGGAGAGACGGUCCCAUGGGAAGGGAUAUUUCUCCGACAAGACGCAGGAUUUCUCCAUCAGAUAGACGUUUGCGGUCCCCGCGUCGCAAAUCUCCGAACAGGCGGAUGUCGCCGGAAUCUCACGGCAGGAUGAGGUACUCCCCAAAUCUGCAUUCGGAUAAGCCUGAUCGCCUGAAGCAAGUCCGACCCGCUUACGAACCAGAGACUAAGGCGUCGAACCAACCUAUGUACUCAGGUGGUUUUCGUCCUAAAAUGGACGAACCACAAGUCCCCGUCGUGCCAGGGGCCACAAGGAUAUCGCCCUGGCAGAGCAGAAGCCAGUCAAGGGAGAAAUAUGUCGUGAAGAAUGAAGAGGAGAGAAGGGAUGUGAUUUCUAGGAUGUCGAAUCGUUCCGGGGAACAGAGGUUUUCUCCUCGCGCGUCUCGCUCGCCUCACCGCAGAGACAGGUCUCCAAUCAGGGACCGUUAUAGAAGGAAUACGCCAUCGACGUCACCAAGGCGAUCUUGGGCGCUCGAAAAACGCCGCAGUCCAGAACCUGAUGCCCCACCACCGCCGAUAUGGCCCGGACAGUCCAAAGACGAGUAUUCUAGACCGAGCCACCCGGAAGAAGACGCAAAAUCACCUGUCUGGGCGAACACCUUCGUCAAAGUCAAAGAGAGAGUACCAGAUUUCGAACCAGAUCCAGUGAGAGUUCGCAAAGAUUUGAUGCACGAAUCGAGGGACGGAGGGUCAGUCCGGAGGGAACCAUCGCCGCAGCGGUUCAAGCAUGGCGACAGGAGAGACGACAGAUACCACAGGGAACCUAAAUUUGAACGGGAUGACUUCUCACACGACCGUCGUUACCACGAGCCUGAUAUAAAGAAGCUUCCAGACAGAGAAGAGUUCAUAGCAAGAAGCGAACGUGCCCACCAGGAUUAUAAGAAAGAAGAAUCGCCCGACCGUCUUCUGCCAAGGGAGGAAGUGUACCGCAAAAAGCAUGAACAGUUCGAGGACGAGUUUCAAGACAUAUACCAAAGGGCCGUGGACUUCGCGAAGAAAGCGCAGGAGUUGCGGAAACAUGAUCGCAGGAAGGAACACGACGAAAGGCGUGACGAUAGGGAGUUCUUCGACAGACACGAUCAUCGCCACGACCAAAGACCAAGGUCACGUGACUCGGACGAGUACAGAAAACGUGAGCCUAACUGGGACAUCGAUCCUAGAAAGAGGCUGUCUCCCAACAAUUUGGCCAAAAGGGAGAAAGCAGUGGAUGAGAUCUGCAAGCGGAUAUUCCAGAAGUACAUGCACCAAGUCGAGCACGAAGCGAGGAAGAGGGUCGAGGACGCGGUGAAAGAUGAAGUGUUCAAUAAGAUAUACGAGAUGUUCGAGGAUGAUGACACUUCUUACAUCGAGCUGAUCAUCAAGUUCAAUUCUAGAUUCGGCAUUCGAUCGGAAGCGGACAUGUUCCACAAGGCGGCGACGAAGUACUCCGUUCAAUAUAAAGGGAAGAAAAGACCGGCGCCAGAUCCAUCUCAAAUACAUGCGAAGAUACCUCGGCGAACUCCAGAACCUGACUUGAAGCCAGGUACUAAAAAGCCGACCGGAACAAUCAUUUCAGAAUGGACCGCAACCCCCGUCGACUUAGCCAAUCAAAUGGCGAUACAGCAAAUGUACGGUACCGUACCCCAAAUGGUUAUGAAUCCGUUCGUUCCAGUAAUGCCAACGUUCCAGGCGCCAGCGCCUGUCCCGCCGCCGAGCUACCAACAUAACGAUCUGCCGACACCGGAAGACAAAGACGGAUUGCAUUUGUAUUUAUGCAAAGACACUUUCAACUUUUUUUUGAGUAGUGAGGUCAACGACCUCAAAGAGUUUCUCGUGUCCGAAAUUUUUAAUACAACGGCAACGAAUAACUGGGCUCCGUCGUUCGUUUUCAUAGGUCUACAAACGCCGCAACGUUACGAGUUGGUCACUCAGGAUCCUAACGCGAAAAAUUGGUUGUUGAAUCUGGACUUUAGCGGGUUCAAAAACUUCAAUGUUUUAGUUUACACCAGCGAGGAAUUGUGGUACGAGAGAGUGGCUAUUUGGCUGCCGGGACACUCCAAGUGUAGGUACAUAGAACCGUUUGCGAAAUUACAGUUGCAGAAUAGGAAAUUGUUGGGUGUCGAUAUAGGUAAGUGGAAGUUCGUUAGGAGCAUCGUCACGGACAAGGGGACAAGGCUUUAUGUAGAUGUUCCACCUUCCGCAGCCCGCGCCCUCGAAGAUAAGAAGACCUUGAGCUAUGAGUUGCAACAAGUCAGCGCUUUUACUAAAGCUAGCGCAGUCGAUAAAGCCGCUUUCGAUUCGGGUCUAACCGAGCGAUACACUGUAGACGAUACUGCCAUACAGUCAGCUAUUCAAAACUCGCCAAUGCCGACUUUGAAAAACGAAUUGGAUUUCGUCAAAAUCACCGUGAAAGGAUACAAAACUCUAACUGUGACAGACGCUAGGAAGAUCAAGGAUAUGUUGGUUUUUGAGUUGUUCAAGUAUUUGAGGUUAGGUGGUCAAAGCAGUACAGAUUUUAUUAAGUACGGCCUCUGUCUACCGUGUUACUUCGGCGUGGUGCCGGCAAACGAAGAGUCUAAGAAAUGGUUGAUACAGUUGAAUAUGGGUAAUUUAUAUCGUCGCCCGAUAGUUAUAAUAGGCGGUGAGGAACAAAACGUGAAGCGAAUACCAUUAAAAGCGUACAUUUCAGGUUGUUGGCCGCAAAGGACAAUGGCGUACGUGUUCGAGCGUAUAAAGCAGAGUAAUAAGGGUGUGAAAGGUCUACAUUUUAAUUUGUGGAAGCCUACAAGGUUGGAUAUAAGUGAUUCAUAUGUGAAACUGUUGAUUAUGAUUGAUAUGGAGUCGGUGGAGACUUUGGCCUCGUUGAGGUUCAGCUUGGAUUAUUUAGACGAGCAUUGCGACAACGAUGUAAAGACGAUUACGUUUAAAUCUGAUGAGGGUAUAGAUAGGCUGUUGGAAAUGAUUCAGGAGUACAAGGCUGAGCAGAGCGAUAGUUAUGUUGUGGCCAAUAUGGAUAUACAGUCGUCUGAGACGGAUGAUGAUAUAAUUUGCUUGGGAGAGGCGACGGACGAAGAUUGACAUGUUUAAACGUGUUCGUACGAUUGAAAUGAAUUCUCGUUUUUAGAUAGCACUUAACAGGUUUAGUGGUUUUUAGGUUAUGUUAAGUUCUUGUUUAUUUGUAUGUUGAAGUCAGCGUUUGAACAUUGUCACAUCGUGUGUUCGUUAUAGCAAUUUCUUUCUGACAUAAGGUUACAACAAGCGAAUAAAAUUUAUUGUAAAUUUUGCACUGCACGUUGUCGUCCAAUCACGAUUCAUUAGUUGAACUCAGAAUAGUUUUCAUACUAUGAAGAAGGUUACUAUUUUCUUUAUAUCUUUCAGAAUAGGUUCAAUUAUUUGUGAGUUAAUUAAUUUAAUUCAGGUUUCUUCUUCUUGCCUUCUUCGUCCUUUAGUCCCAGUUGCAUUCUCACCACUCUGGAGAGGAGCUCGGGGUAUGCCUUUGACCAUAGAUCCUGGAUUGGUUAAGUCAGGUUUUUACACGAAGCGACUACCGUCUGACCUCCUGUGGGAACCUAACCCGUAUUGGAUUGAUCAUGGUUACACAUUUAGUUGCCUUAAAGUGCAUGUUUCCUCACGAUGUUCUCUGUCACCAUAAGAGCAUCGGUUAGUAUUCAAACUAAUGUACGUACAUAACUUCGAAAAUAGUCAUUGGGCGGGGUGAGAUUCGAACCUGUGCCUUUUUGCGCCACACGCAUUUUUAACCGCACCUUACCGAUUCCACCGCCAAUGCUCCUCAACGACCACAGAUUUUUAUCUUGUGUUUCUAAAAUAUUAGAAUAAACAUCAUUAAACUUCUUCAUGUGGAAAACUGGUUUGUCUGGGUUCAAUCUUGUGAAUACCAUUAUGUAAAAGUACAUACAUACAUACAUAAACUCACGCCUCUUUCCCGGAGGGGUAGGCAGAGACUACCUCUUUCCACUUGCCACGAAAAAAGUAAAUAUGUAAAAGUAAGGUGUUCAAAUUGUAAUUAAUAAAAUACCUACUGAGAAAUAAGUGUUGUUAUUUUUUUAUUGUAAUUGGAGGUUGAGGAAUUCUUCAAACUAUAGCUGCUGCUUUUUAAAAACGUACUGUUUCAAAUGACGAUAGUCUUAAAAAAUGCUUUUUUUAACAGCGACAAAAUUACUAUGACAAAUGGUAUUUGACAACUGUCAAAUUGUUCUGCCUUGCUGUAAGCGCGUAGGGAAGUGAUUGCUAGAAGCUAUUAUCGAUUAUGUGAAAAGAACAUUUCGUUGAAGUCAAAUCAAGUCCGCAUUAAAACAUAUUACUUAAUCUUUAUAAAAAAAGCAUUGAAGUUCGAAAGAAGUAGACCAUUAAAUGAACAUUUAGCUCCAAAUAAUUAUGUUACAGCUUGCUGGUACUUUAAAAAAAAUAAACAAUAGUAUUUAUCUACGACAUCAGUCGACUAAUAUUCUUAUUUAUCUAUCUUGCCUAAAUCUUUUUAAAUAUUUGCUUUAUCAUAAAAAACUUGUAAUUAAAACUCCAAAACAUAACAACACAUUUUUGUUUAAGCGAAAAAGAUAGACUUCAAAUUUAUUAUUUGAAAAGCUGUAAGUAGUGUCGUAUGUUUUUAUCAAAGGUAAGUUUAUAUUUCUUAUAUUUGUACGAGUAUUAAUAACUUACAUAUAAAAUUUUCAUAAGUGUUAUAAUUACCAGUUUGAAAUUUUGUUUUCAGGGUUCUAAUGAGUUUCAGAUCUUAGCAAAAAACCCUGGAUCAAAUCUAGCAGUUUAUAACGUUUACGUCUAUGUGCUUACGGAGAAGACAGAGCCUCGCCUAUUUUCGUCACUGAAUACUGCAUUUCAGUGCGCGUUGGUAGCUCGAAGUAAAAUCCAAAAGACAAAGUCACCGCGGCUCUACCUCCGAGAUAUCGCACUGUGGAAUACCAAAACAAGACCACUGUGCGCCGGGUUCCUACAGGGGACCCUCAUAUAAGGUCAAGAGAGGUCAACGGGCCGUCUCCACCAG